Long non-coding RNA from Nymphaea colorata (pocket water lily), 2584 nucleotides. RefSeq lists it as uncharacterized. The transcript has 5 exons. NCBI's taxonomy places the organism in Eukaryota, Viridiplantae, Streptophyta, Magnoliopsida, Nymphaeales, Nymphaeaceae. The record is from RefSeq and is a predicted model, not a curated record.
AAUUUACAUGUGACUGGACAUGAUCCUGAAUUGUCUUUUGGUUGUCUUUUAUUUCCAAGAGGCCUCUACAUGGUGGAGGCUUGAUUUCUCAUUUUGGAUUUGAGACUGACUACAUAAAUUUUAUAUGAGGUAAAUGGUUCCAGCUUGGCGUGUUUAGACAAUGCAGCUACAUCUCAAAAGCCAUAUGCUGUUUUGGAAGUUCUUCGUGAUUAUGUGAGGGCUACAGCUCAAAUGGUCACCACAAUAUUCAUUACUUAAGGUAUCCCAACAUAACGCCCCAUACCUACCCUUACUCUCUCUAUCUCUCUCUCUCUCCCUCCCUUGUCUUGAUUGCUUGCUCACUCACAUGCAUGUUCACAGUUGGACACCCACAAUGAUGCACUCUUCCUGUUUGCAAAGGAAGCAAGAAAAAGAAAAUUCCUUGUUCUAAAAUUCUAUGUUUCUGUAUAUCAAGGAAGGAAAAAAAUAAGGGUAGUUCAUUGGGUGCAUGGUAAAUCAUUUGAUUUAAUCUUUUUUCAAUAGUUUUAUUAUUUGGCGUAUUAAAAAAUAAGGGUAGUUCAUUGGGUGCAUGGUAAAUCAUUUGAUUUAAUCUUUUUUCAAUAGUUUUAUUAUUUGGCGUAUUGUGCGGUAAGUAUUUGAAAAGGCUCUCAUUUUUCAUUGUUUCUAGCAGCAGCAGUCCGACCCAUAUAAGUGCUUAAUGUCCUAUACACUCAUCAAUGUUAAUAAUUUUCUAUAAUUAAUAUGUUACAAGUGAAAUCAUUGGCUAAUACUAUUGAGCCUAUCUUGUCUAUGUCAAGUGUAGUGGGCUAUGUCAAGAAUAUAAUCAGGGUCUCUAUCAGAUCUCAACAACCUGGAAUAGCGGCCACAUCCCUAACUAUGCCUUUUAUAAUCAGGCUGCAUGAACAUAAACCAUGAGAAGAGAAUUCGUUUUGUUGAUACUCUAGCCAUCUAGAAUCUGCAAUACAACAUCAGAUUGGGCAGACCUACAUGCAAGGGAAGCGCGUGCUUUAUUGGGAUGGCUGAGUACCAGAGUCAAGUUUUCUGAAAGCAGACAGAACUUGAUCAAGAACUUUGAACAUUCUCUUUCCUUGGUGGAUUGGAACUAUUAUCCAAUUACACAGUUUAUACAGCAGUAACAGCACUAUAACACCAAGGGAAUAAUGUUGGGACUGUCAUUGACAGAGGCUGCCAAGGUGUGCAAUGCUAUCCUGGACAGUAAUUUGUGUGCUUGAUUUCUUGUUAAAUCUCACAGAACCAAGAAGAUUCCUCAACUUUGACAGGCCGUUGUUAUUAUGUCACAGACGUCACAGAAUAUGAAAAAACAGACUGUGAUACUGAAACUUGUGAUUCUCAAUGACAUGCGUGAUCUCCAUAUGCUGAUGAAGCACAAGUUGUGAUUCUUUAGCCCUUUGAAAGGCAAAAGAAUGAUGGUUUUACAGCUUUUUGGGCAAGAGGAUGAUAGUGGUUACAUGGUGGUUCUGUUGGUUUCGCUUUUCUUUUCCAUUAUUGUUUUUAAUGUUGUAGAAUCAUCCUAUUAAGUGUUUGGUGUGUGGUCACACCAUGAUGAAGACUAUUCUAGGAGGCGAAUUAUUAAAAAAUUACUUGCAAGCAGCGGGAAACUUGUAAAAGCACGUAGGCAGUAGUCAGGACAACAAAUGCCUGUGGGGACAAAUUACUGCCAAAAAGAAAUUAAAAUGUGUUCAUUUUGUUUUAAGAAGGAUUUCAAGUUCUUUUACCUUCAUACCUGUGUCACGUAUAUGGGUUCUCGGCAACAGACUUGUGUCCAGGAGCAAGAAUUUAGGAAAAAGCUGCCAUGAUUUUGCCACGGGAAGGGCUGCCCUGUUGUGAAAGAAGCCAUCUUUCACCAAGAAGGAAAAACUCCAGUCGAAGCGAGUUUGUCAAUAAGCUUUGAACCCUGUUAUCUCAUGCUUCUCAAACGAGCUUUGUGUAAGUAGUCUUUCAUGGUCUCAAAAGGUUCUAAAAAGGAAUGUUAUAUCUUGUAUGUAGGGGAGCAAUUUCGGUCGAUAUGGGAAUUAUUUGUCUCGUCUGAGUCUUCCCUGUUCUUGCUUUGCAAAUACCACUUAAAAUGAGCUGGAAUUUAUCAAAGUAAUAUGCCUUCUGAGUUCUGCUAGAAUCAUGGGCAUGCAAUUUAGCAGAGCUUUUGAGUUACAAAGGGACCACAGGAUCAAGAAUCAUGAUCAAAUGUGGAGCAUUGGAGGCAUGAUCUCAGAUGCUCUCCAACGCCAUCCUCAAUUCUGGAUUUUGUUCAAUAACUCAACGACGAGAACUACUGAGAACCAUAUAGUAGUAGCAGCAGCAGCAGUUGAUGUUGACGAUGAUGAUUAUUUUAUUAUUAUUGUCUGCAGUUUAUUCAAUCGUUCUUGCAGCCUAAUUGACUGGCUCUUGUACGCUAUAGACUAUGAAUUUCAGUUUCGCUUCAUUAGCUGAACUAUAGUUCCCCAUUUGCCAGUAAAUUACUCUUUACCUAUCUUUUCUGAUGGUUCUUGAAAUACAUACUUGCACAGGCUUAAAUUUAAACAGGCACAGGUUGCAAAACAGACAUCUUCUUUGACGUAGGAGAGAA